AUUGAACGCUGGCGGCAGGCCUAACACAUGCAAGUCGAGCGGAUGCAGGGAGCUUGCUUGCGGAUUCAGGGGCGGAGGGGUGGGUAAUGCCUAUGUAUCUGCCUGGUUGCUGUGUAUAACGUCCUAAUACGGGCGAUCCUACCGCAUACCUCCUUAGGGCGAAAGUGGGGGAGCUUCGGAUCUUCCGCUAUCACAGGAGUGUAGGUCGCAUUAGCGAGUUGGUGGGGUAAAGGCCUACCAAGGCGACGCUCCGUAACUGGUCUGAGAGGAUGAUCAGCCACACUGGAACUGAGCCACGGUCCAGACUCCUACGGGAGGCAGCAGUGGGGAAUAUUGGACAAUGGGCGAAAGCCUGAUCCAGCCAUGCCGCGUGUGUGAAGAAGGUCUUCGGGUUGUAAAGCACUUUAAGUUGGAAAGAAGAGCAGUAAGUUAAUACCUUGCUGUUUUGACGGUACCAAAAGAAUAAGCACCGGCUAACUUCGUG
RNAcentral lists this ribosomal RNA (484 nucleotides) under uncultured bacterium. RNAcentral describes it as "partial 16S ribosomal RNA". It matches the Rfam family "Bacterial small subunit ribosomal RNA", at positions 30 to 507 of the family's 1533-position model. The record is from RNAcentral.